GAUGAAGAACGUAGCGAAAUGCGAUAAGUAAUGUGAAUUGCAGAAUUCAGUGAAUCAUCGAAUCUUUGAACGCACAUUGCGCCCCCUGGUAUUCCGGGGGGCAUGCCUGUCCGAGCGUCAUUUCAACCCUCGAGCCCCCCCGGGGGCUCGGCGUUGGGGAUCGGCCCCUCACCGGGCCGGCCCCGAAAUACAGUGGCGGUCUCGCCGCAGCCUCCCCUGCGCAGUAGUUUGCACACUCGCACCGGGAGCGCGGCGCGUCCACGGCCGUAAAACAACCCAAACUUCUGAAAGGUUGACCUCGGAUCAGGUAGGAAUACCCGCUGAACUUAAGCAUAUCAAUAAGCGGAGGA
This 350-nucleotide unclassified non-coding RNA is filed under the name soil metagenome. Its description in RNAcentral is "partial contains 5.8S ribosomal RNA, internal transcribed spacer 2, and large subunit ribosomal RNA". The stretch from base 1 to 120 matches the Rfam family "5.8S ribosomal RNA", at positions 35 to 154 of the family's 154-position model. The record is from RNAcentral.